GCGGUUACUCCUCAUCCUUGCAGAUGGUAGACCAGGAGGGUUGAUCCAGGACCAGCUCCUGUUUCUCCAAGCAGAGGCGCUGCAGCCAGGCCAGGUCUUCGGCACAAGGCUGUGAGGCCAGUUCCUUUUUUUAAAAAAAAUAAUAUUUAUUAAAGUUUCACAAAAAUACAUGAAAAUACAGAAUAAAGAAAAAGUAUAAAGUUUUAAGAUAUAACAAAAAAAAGUAGAAAAUAAGGGAAAAAAACAUACAAAAUAAAACAGUUCAAAACACAAUAAUGUUCCAUAACCUAUCUUCCUUACUCUUAUUUCCCCGGACCUCCUCAUACCUCCCUUCUUUGUAUUCCAAUUCAAUUUUUUGGUUCAGCAAAUCCUUACCAUUAAUCUUUUACCCAAUUGUUAACCUUUUUUUCCAUGUCUCUUAAAGCAUUACAGCUAAAAACCUCUUAGUUUCUAUCCAACAUCCUUCUAAAGUUCCUUAAUUUUGCAAUAUUUCUGUAAAUAGUCCUUAAAUUUCUUCCAGUCUUCUUUCACCGACUCUUCUCCCUGGUCUCGGAUUCUGCCAGUCAUUUCCGCCAGUUCCAUGUAGUCAAUCACCUUCAUCUGCCAUUCUUCCAAAGUGGGUAGAUCUUGUGUCUUCCAAUACUUUGCGAUAAGUAUUCUUGCUGCUGUUGUAGCAUACAUGAAAAGGGUUCUGUCCUUCUUUGGCACCAAUUGGCCGACAAUGCCCAAGAGAAAGGCCUCUGGUUUCUUCAGAAAGGUAUAUUUAAAUACCUUUUUCAGUUCAUUAUAUAUCAUUUCCCAGAAAGCCUUAAUCUUUGGGCACGUCCACCAGAGGUGAAAGAAUGUACCUUCAGUUUCUUUACAUUUCCAACAUUUAUUAUCGGGCAAAUGAUAAAUUUUUGCAAGCUUGACUGGGGUCAUGUACCACCUGUAUAUCAUUUUCAUUAUAUUCUCUCUUAAGGCAUUACAUGCCGUAAACUUCAUACCUGUGGUCCAUAACUGUUCCCAGUCAGCAAACAUAAUAUUAUGUCCAACAUCUUGUGCCCAUUUAAUCAUAGCAGAUUUCACCGUUUCAUCCUGAGUAUUCCAUUUCAACAGCAAGUUAUACAUUCUUGACAAAUUUUUAGUUUUGGGUUCUAACAAUUCUGUUUCUAAUUUUGACUUUUCCACUUGGAAGCCUAUUUUCUUAUCCAAAUUAUAUGCCUCCAUUAUCUGAUAGUAGUGGAGCCAAUCUCUCACUUUAUUUUUAAUUUUUCAAAACUCUGCAAUCUCAAUUUAUCUCCUUCUUGCUCCAAAAUUUCCCAAUAUGUCGGCCAUUUGGCCUCCAUAUUGAGCCUUUUCAGAGCUUUUGCUUCCAUUGGUGACAGCCACCUUGGGGUUUUAUUUUCCAAUAAGUCUUUGUAUCUUAUCCAGACAUUAAACAAUGCUUUCCUAACAAUAUGGUUUUUGAAUGCUUUGUGUGCUUUGACCUUAUCAUACCAUAAAUAUGCAUGCCAUCCAAAUACAUAAAUAUGCAUGCCAUCCAAAUACAUUGUUAAAACCUUCUAAAUCCAAAAUAUCUGUGUUUUCAAGAAGUAGCCAUUCUUUCAGCCAGCAAAAAGCUGCUGAUUCAUAAUAAAGCCAGGUCUUCGGCACAAGGCUGUGAGGCCAGCUCCAGGCACCUUCUUCAUCAUCAAGGUCCGGUGGAGCAUUGAUUUCAGUCUCAGAAGGUGAAGAGGACUUCUCACGGCCAUCUACAUUUGGUGGAUAAGCACCCUGACUCGGCUGGGCUUGGCACAGUUCCAGAUGACCAUCCAGGUAGGUGGGCCAAGCCAAGCCAAUCUCACCUCAGGGUACAUAGUUCUCAACAGCUUCUGGAUUUAUUAUAAUACUUAACAAUGAGGUAUUGGAAAUUGGUGGGGCCCAGGGUUGGUGCAGGAUGUUUAGGAAGUCCAGGCAAAACAGAAAAUGCUGCCCCCACUACCAGACAGGUGGGAGGGGUGCCACUGCUGUGCACAGGACACCGACUACCCCUGGUGGGCAGCAGAAGAAACUUGAGUUGCCAGCUGUUUUUGGACUACAUCUCCCAUAAUCCAUAGCUAGCAGGACCAGUGUUCAGGGAUGAUGGGAACUGUAGUCUAAACUGGGAAACCCUUAUAUCACAAGGAAGUUUAAACAAAUUGAGCUUCCCACACAACACAGGCUUGUAGAGGGUUAGGGUUCUCAAAGACAUCACUCCUCUUAUAGUGCCAGGUGGGCCAUUCAUUAUUUUUUUUAAAAAGAUAUUUAUUAAAAUUUCAACAUAUUACAAAAAUGAGCGAAAAAAGAAAAAGGAAAGCAGAUAAAAAAAAAAGCUAUAAAAAUGGAAAAAUACAAAAUACAAAAUAAAAGCAGUUAAACAAACAGAUUAGUCUUUCUAUGACUUAUCUUUCAUUUACUUGUUUCCCCAACCUCCUCGCGCCUCCCUUUUUUGUAUUCCAGUUCACAUAUUUUGUUCAGCAGUUCCCUCCCCUCUUUUAAAAAUCCUAAUCAUUAAUCAUAAAAAUAUUGUACUUUUAGAUUUUUACAUAUUACAUAAUAAACCCUUUUUUCAUCUUCCCUUAUAACAUUUCAGCUAAGAACCACUUAGUUUUUAUCGAACGUCAUUCUAACAUUCAUUAAUUUUACAAUAUUUCUGUAGAUAAUCUUUGAAUUUCUUCCAAUCUUCUUCCACCGACUCUUCUCCCUGGUCUCAGAUUCUGCCGGUCAUUUCCGCCAGUUACAUAUAGUCCAUCAGCUUCAUCUGCCAUUCUUCCAAGGUGGGUAGAUCUUGUGUCUUCCAAUACUUUGCAAUAAGAAUUCUUGCUGCUGUUGUGGCAUACAUAAAGAAAGUUCUGUCCCUCUUUAACACCAAUUGGCCGACUAUGCCCAGGAGGAAGGCCUCUGGUUUCUUCAAGAAGGUAUAUUUAAAUACCUUUUUCAAUUCAUUAUAUAUCAUUUCCCAGAAAGCCUUAAUCUUUGGGCAUGUCCACCAAAGGUGAAAGAAUGUACCUUCAGUUUCCUUACAUUUCCAACGUUUAUUAUCGGGCAAAUGAUAGAUUUUUGCAAGCCUGACUGGGGUCAUGUACCACCUGUAUAUCAUUUUCAUAAUAUUCUCUCUUAGGGCAUUACAUGCCGUAAAUUUCAUGCCUGUGGUCCACAACUGUUCCCAGUCAGCAAACAUGAUAUUAUGUCCUAAAUCUUGUGCCCAUUUAAUCAUAGCAGAUUUCACAGUUUCAUCCUGAGUAUUCCAUUUCAGCAACAAGUUAUACAUUCUUGACAAAGUCUUAGUAGUGGGUUCUAACAGUUCUGUUUCCAAUUUUGAUUUCUCCACCUGGCCAGGUGGGCCAUUCAGACUCUACUUGAGAUCUCUAAUGAAGAAGAGCCCACCACCACCUUCCAAGAUUCAUCUGCCCAGAGCCAGGAAUGAUGGCCACAGAUCUCACAUGGUUCAAGAUCACCUGAGCCCAGCCCUGGCUAGGGAAGGCCCUGAUCGCUGCCUGCAGUAGCCUUUCUUUCAUGUGGGAGGAGGCCUUGAUUCACCCCAACAGUUGUUUUCCAGGAAGUGUGGGAGGCAGAGAGGGGAGCUAUUUCUAUUCUCUUCCCUUGUCUCCCUUUGUUUUCGCCUUGGCAUCUCCCCCUCCCCCUCUGCCCCCUGUCUCUCCUGGCACCCCACAUCAAAGCAAAACACAGAGGAACAUAAAUGGAACCGUCCCUUUAGACAUUUGCUUCAUCAAGCCCCGCUUUCUCCCUACAAAUCUGCAAUUAGUUUUUGUUCUGAUUAGGGUUUGCUUGCUAAUGAGAGACUCCCGAGGAGGCAGCUGGGACUUCCGAGGCAAGAGAGGCAGGCAAACACUUCAGAAUUAAUUGCCAAGGCAGGCUGUGGGGGCAGGGGAGGAGAGGCGGAGAGGGCAGCCUACCCAGGCACCAGGCACAUUCCUGCUGAAGCGGGGGAGCAGGCAGCAGGUUAGUCUGGACUCUCCAGAGGCCAAGAACACCUCCUGCCUGCAGGAGCUCCUCAAAUGGUUGGCAAAAAGAAUGAAAAAGGGAGAACCAUAGAAUAUUGCAGAAUUGGAAGGGACCCCAAGAGUCACGAAUCACAACUAAAGAAUCCCUACAGGGAGGGAAAUUCUUGCUGCUGCUGUUUCUAUUAUUCUAAAUAAGUGGAAACUUGUUUAAUCUAAGACCAUACCCUCCAACAUUUUGUGAUAAAAAUUCAGAGGACCCGCCCCACCACCACCCAUCUCCAUCGCUCGCCACCUGCCUGCCACUGACCCCUUCCUCACCCACCCACUCGCUGCUGCAACCCACUCAUUCACCCCCUCCUUUCCUCCCCCCUCUCUUAACUCUGCUGUCUUCAGCCUCCUGCUCAUGAGACGCUGCAUCUCCAGACACAGCGUGAUCUAGAGCAGACUCUGGGAAGAUGCCGUCUGCACUGCAUCUGGAAAAUUGGGGGCAUCCCUGAUUGGGAUCAGAGGCCAGGGCAGCUUCUGUCAAUUUGGGAUGUCCCAAUUAAAUCAGGACACUUGAGGGGUAUGCAAGACAGAGGCCGAUUCAGUGAGAAAGCCAGUGUCGGAUUAGGACCUUGGAGGAAAAAUACUUAUUAUAAGUACUUAUUAUAAAAUAAGUAAGUAAGUAUAAGAUGGGCAUCUGCACAUCGUCAGUAUUUUGGGGGGACUAAACUGCAUCCUGGAACUUCAGGUUUGUGCAUUUAAAGUGGAUCCAUCCACUUUUUAAAACAUGAACUGACUUUCUGCAGUUAGGUAAAUGGUGGAAAUGCACUGGAAUGCUCAAUAAAGCUCAGGCACAGUCUAGCAUCCUUGUAAGCAUUCUACAAGCAAAUCAGAACAAAUGUUCAAUCAUUCAUUCUGAUUUGUUUAUGGUGUAGAUAUAGGACUGUGAGCAUCUGUCCUGUGUUCCUCCUGAUUGGCUUGUGGGGGUUUACAUAUUUUCCAAUCCAUUAUUCAACCAACUCACACUUUUCAGCACAUUUCCAGGUCACUUUUGAUACCACAAAAAGUCUCACCUCUCUCUCUCUCUCUCUCUCUCUCUCUCUCUCUCUCUCGGAAGUGGGUUUAUUGUGCUUAGGGUGACAGAGUUCUUUAAUCCACUGUGCAAAUCUAAAUGUAUGGCCUGCCCUGGAAUCUCUCCUGCAAGACACUGGCAGUCUGGAGGAGCGCAAAGUGAGUGAAGGAAGCAGAACAGUUCCACCAUGCACAGCAAACACACAGCCCCCUCCCACGUGUCCCCCCAGCAGUUUAGGCCAGUUCCCCCUCCUCAUUCCCCACCCCCACCCAGCAUGCUUCUCAACACAAUGGUCUUCUAGAGGCAGUAAAGAGGAAACAGAGGAAGCCC
This 5352-nucleotide long non-coding RNA is filed under the name Podarcis lilfordi (Lilford's wall lizard). The record is from RNAcentral. Lineage: Eukaryota; Metazoa; Chordata; Lepidosauria; Squamata; Lacertidae.